GUGGAUCAGUGGCGAACGGGUGAGUAACACGUGAGCAACCUGCCCUGGACUCUGGGAUAAGCGCUGGAAACGGCGUCUAAUACUGGAUAUGAACCACGAAGGCAUCUUCAGUGGUUGGAAAGAUUUUUCGGUCUGGGAUGGGCUCGCGGCCUAUCAGCUUGUUGGUGAGGUAAUGGCUCACCAAGGCGUCGACGGGUAGCCGGCCUGAGAGGGUGACCGGCCACACUGGGACUGAGACACGGCCCAGACUCCUACGGGAGGCAGCAGUGGGGAAUAUUGCACAAUGGGCGGAAGCCUGAUGCAGCAACGCCGCGUGAGGGAUGACGGCCUUCGGGUUGUAAACCUCUUUUAGCAAGGAAGAAGCUUUUGUGACGGUACUUGCAGAAAAAGCGCCGGCUAACUACGUGCCAGCAGCCGCGGUAAUACGUAGGGCGCAAGCGUUAUCCGGAAUUAUUGGGCGUAAAGAGCUCGUAGGCGGUUUGUCGCGUCUGCUGUGAAAUCCCGAGGCUCAACCUCGGGCCUGCAGUGGGUACGGGCAGACUAGAGUGCGGUAGGGGAGAUUGGAAUUCCUGGUGUAGCGGUGGAAUGCGCAGAUAUCAGGAGGAACACCGAUGGCGAAGGCAGAUCUCUGGGCCGUAACUGACGCUGAGGAGCGAAAGGG
RNAcentral lists this ribosomal RNA (661 nucleotides) under Microbacterium sp. RNAcentral's name for it is "bacterial SSU rRNA". It matches the Rfam family "Bacterial small subunit ribosomal RNA", at positions 87 to 761 of the family's 1533-position model. The record is from RNAcentral. Lineage: Bacteria; Bacillati; Actinomycetota; Actinomycetes; Micrococcales; Microbacteriaceae.